RNAcentral lists this ribosomal RNA (1077 nucleotides) under Vibrio parahaemolyticus. Its description in RNAcentral is "partial 23S ribosomal RNA". It matches the Rfam family "Bacterial large subunit ribosomal RNA", at positions 419 to 1505 of the family's 2925-position model. The record is from RNAcentral. Lineage: Bacteria; Pseudomonadati; Pseudomonadota; Gammaproteobacteria; Vibrionales; Vibrionaceae.
GGGACACGUGAUAUCCUGUCUGAAUAUGGGGGGACCAUCCUCCAAGGCUAAAUACUACUGACUGACCGAUAGUGAACCAGUACCGUGAGGGAAAGGCGAAAAGAACCCCUGUGAGGGGAGUGAAAUAGAACCUGAAACCGUGUACGUACAAGCAGUAGGAGCAGGCUUGUCCUGUGACUGCGUACCUUUUGUAUAAUGGGUCAGCGACUUAUAUUCAGUGGCAAGGUUAACCAUCUAGGGGAGCCGUAGGGAAACCGAGUCUUAACUGGGCGUUCAGUCUCUGGAUAUAGACCCGAAACCAGGUGAUCUAGCCAUGGGCAGGUUGAAGGUUGAGUAACAUCAACUGGAGGACCGAACCGACUAAUGUUGAAAAAUUAGCGGAUGACUUGUGGCUAGGGGUGAAAGGCCAAUCAAACCUGGAGAUAGCUGGUUCUCCCCGAAAGCUAUUUAGGUAGCGCCUCGGACGAAUACUACUGGGGGUAGAGCACUGUUAAGGCUAGGGGGUCAUCCCGACUUACCAACCCUUUGCAAACUCCGAAUACCAGUAAGUACUAUCCGGGAGACACACGGCGGGUGCUAACGUCCGUCGUGGAGAGGGAAACAACCCAGACCGCCAGCUAAGGUCCCAAAUUACUACUAAGUGGGAAACGAUGUGGGAAGGCUCAGACAGCCAGGAUGUUGGCUUAGAAGCAGCCAUCAUUUAAAGAAAGCGUAAUAGCUCACUGGUCGAGUCGGCCUGCGCGGAAGAUGUAACGGGGCUAAGUAGUAAACCGAAGCUGCGGCAAUAUACUUUUGUAUAUUGGGUAGGGGAGCGUUCUGUAAGCGGUUGAAGGUGUGUGGUAACGCAUGCUGGACGUAUCAGAAGUGCGAAUGCUGACAUGAGUAACGAUAAAGGGGGUGAAAAACCUCCUCGCCGGAAGACCAAGGGUUCCUGUCCAACGUUAAUCGGGGCAGGGUAAGUCGACCCCUAAGGCGAGGCCGAAAGGCGUAGUCGAUGGGAAACGGGUUAAUAUUCCCGUACUUCUUACAAUUGCGAUGGGGGGACGGAGAAGGCUAGGUGGGCCUGGCGACGGUUGU